RNAcentral lists this long non-coding RNA (307 nucleotides) under Vigna radiata. RNAcentral's name for it is "long non-coding RNA (VRAD_LNC010192)". The record is from RNAcentral. Lineage: Eukaryota; Viridiplantae; Streptophyta; Magnoliopsida; Fabales; Fabaceae.
GGCAAAUAAUUGUAGAAAAAAGAAUGGUAAUCAAGUGCUGAAUCUUCUUUGGUGGGGGGAUAAAUUUUCUGUCUUGUAUGAUAAGGGAACAAGUCCAAAGCCAAAAGAGGGAUGACUCGAGUAUGCUUAUAAGGAAGGCUACAAGUGGGCCUGUAGGGGAGGCUACAUGUGGGUCAGGUGGAGUACAAGAGAGUGAUUGGGUCUUAUCAUGAUGGAGUUCAUGGUUUGGUGAUAUUCAUGGUGUUGUUCAUGAUUGAGAUAGUCAUGAUGAUAAUGUAUCUAUAAUGAUAAUCUUGGUAUUGAAGAU